This 472-nucleotide ribosomal RNA is filed under the name uncultured bacterium. RNAcentral's name for it is "bacterial SSU rRNA". It matches the Rfam family "Bacterial small subunit ribosomal RNA", at positions 355 to 825 of the family's 1533-position model. The record is from RNAcentral.
UGGGGAAUUUUGGACAAUGGGCGAAAGCCUGAUCCAGCAAUGCCGCGUGCAGGAAGAAGGCCUUCGGGUUGUAAACUGCUUUUGUACGGAACGAAAAGGCUCUUUCUAAUAAAGAGGGCCCAUGACGGUACCGUAAGAAUAAGCACCGGCUAACUACGUGCCAGCAGCCGCGGUAAUACGUAGGGUGCGAGCGUUAAUCGGAAUUACUGGGCGUAAAGCGUGCGCAGGCGGUUCUAUAAGACAGAUGUGAAAUCCCCGGGCUCAACCUGGGAAUGGCAUUUGUGACUGUAGAGCUAGAGUACGGUAGAGGGGGAUGGAAUUCCGCGUGUAGCAGUGAAAUGCGUAGAUAUGCGGAGGAACACCGAUGGCGAAGGCAAUCCCCUGGGUUAACACUGACGCUCAUGCACGAAAGCGUGGGGAGCAAACAGGAUUAGAUACCCACGUAGUCCCUGAGCGGGCUGGCAAGGCGCAU